CCAUUCUCUGGUAAGUCGCGACAACGGACGUCGCUCCGCUCCCCGUGGCAGACUCCAUGUGGCACGCCCCGGUGAUAGCCACGGGUCUACUCCACUACUCUCCGCAACAAACUCCUCCUGACUCUGGGCGGCCCACUGCCAGAUGGUUACAGACAUGGCUAUCAGUUUGUUGCCCCCUCCGUCUAUAAAAGGGGGACCCCC
Molecule: long non-coding RNA, 201 nt
Filed under: Elaeis guineensis (African oil palm)
Lineage: Eukaryota; Viridiplantae; Streptophyta; Magnoliopsida; Arecales; Arecaceae
Description: long non-coding RNA (EGUI_LNC062051)
Source: RNAcentral